Molecule: transfer RNA, 71 nt
Filed under: Cavia porcellus (domestic guinea pig)
Lineage: Eukaryota; Metazoa; Chordata; Mammalia; Rodentia; Caviidae
Rfam family: tRNA
About the family: Transfer RNA (tRNA) molecules are approximately 80 nucleotides in length.
Source: Rfam by way of RNAcentral
AGGGAUUUAGCUGAGUGGCUCAAGCGCUUGCCUGGUAAGCAUGAGGUUGUGGGUUUGAUCUCCAGUCCCAA